Molecule: long non-coding RNA, 6621 nt
Filed under: Nicotiana tabacum (common tobacco)
Lineage: Eukaryota; Viridiplantae; Streptophyta; Magnoliopsida; Solanales; Solanaceae
Description: long non-coding RNA (NTAB_LNC004339)
Source: RNAcentral
AAGACCCUACCAUUUCCCUCAUCUCUCUCAAGACACUCAACCCUAGCUGCCUUCUAUCACUCAAAGAAUACUCGCUGGCGGCACCACGCCAAAUGACCUCAAACCUUCACCUUGCAAUUCCCAAACCUCCCCUAGUCCAAAUCCAUUUGUAGUUUCCUCCAAUUCCUCCUCAAACUCAUCACUUUUCAUAUCUCAAAACUAAACCCUAGCCGCCCUUUUCCUCUUCUAAUUACUCGACUGUUCCCCCAUCCGUUUAUGGUCGAAAUUUACGGCAUUGGAAAGCUCUUGAUGAGAGCUAUACGCUGAUGUAAAUUUCAUGCCGUAUCUCAGAGAUUGCAUUUUGGUUGGAGCCGUGUUUGUUUAUCGGGAUUUCGUCGGGGUUCUAUGUUCGUUUCUCUUAAAAGUUAAUAGGUAAUUUCUUUUUUUUUUCUUUCCUUACUGAUUAAUCGAAGUAUGUCGCUUUUCUUAAAAAGAAUUUUUGAAAAUUGAUUCAUAGUCUCAGUUUUGCAUGACUUGUUUAAUUGCAUGAUUUGUUAGAUUAAUUUUUUUAGGAUCAAUUUAGAUGACAAAAAAAUUAUCCGAUUAAUUGGUACAAUUGUCAAUUCUGUUUGAUUUCUAUUCUGAUUGAUUGUCUUGUUGUGAUUGAAUUUGAAAGAAGUAGGAAGAAUUUGUUAUUUGAGGAUUUAAGAGUAAAAUCCAGAAGUUAGGAGGUAAAAAGAAAUAGGAAAAGAUUAGUUGAAGCACAAGUGUCCAUUUUCGGUUAAAAAGAUGCCUUACCUCAUAUUUUUUAGCUGACAGAAUCUUUUACAUUCCUCUCGCAUUUUCCUCACAAGUGCACACUCCUACACUCUAUAUAAUAGACCUCACAUUCCCUCAUACAGACACAUAGAAUUCUCUAAAAAAUAUACAAUCCUUUCUUUUUCAUUUUAUUUAUAUUCUGCAUUUUUUUUUUUUGAAAAAACAUUCUGAAAUUUGAAGAAAAAAAAGAGGAAGCUGAGGGUUCAAAAGCUUUCUAGGUUGAUUGCAGUGCUGUUAGUUUGUUUAAGAAUUUCUGGGGUUUGAGAGUUUAAUUCAAUCUCAAAAACCUUGUUAAUUGUUGUUUUUCGCUGGUUCUCUGUUGCUUCUUGGAUAUAAUGAGCUUUGCUCUUCCAUUAGCUUUUAUUUGGCCAUUUUUUCUCUGUUUAUCCUGUUUUUAAGGUACACGCUAGAAUUCUAUGUAUUCUUGCUUGAGUAUAUUGAUUAAUUGAUUAGAAUUGCUUCUGAAUUUGUUGGACGGAUCUUAUUUAAGUUCAAUUGUUGUGUUUUAUGAAUCAGUAACAUCUUAUGAUGUUGUGUUUAUGAAAUAUUUGUGUUUGAUUCCAACUUUGCAAACCUGUGCUGUUCCACGAAAUCAAGUGCAUUAGAAGUGGGUUCAGUAAUCUGCCAGGAGAGUUAGAUAGCGUUAUUUAUUUAUUAGAGCGAUUCAACUCGCAAUAGCAUAUUUGUUCAAGUAUAUGAUCUUGUUAAUUACCAUUUUCAGAUUUUUUGGGUUAUAAUUAUCUUUCAUGAUGUUAAUUACCUUUAGUAAUGCAUAUCAUUAGUAAUUUACUAAAUUUGGGUCCCCAAAGUUUCUAGUAUUUUUCGUGACACAGACCAUUAAUUUUCUUAAGGUUCUUACAAAUUUUUCAAAUAAUUCCCUAUAAUAUCUUUCCUUACAAUAAUCCCAAACAUAGGAAAUGAACAAUCAUGAAUACGAUAGCAUGCUUUAGACACGCUAUUAAUUAAUCAAAUUAUCGUAAUUAUGUACACAUUCGCGUGACAUGAUUAUGAUUUUUCCCAAAUAAAUCAAGGUACGCGUUCAAGUGACAUAGGUCAAAAGUAAUCAUAAAUUAAUAAAGCGUGAUUAAUUGUGUACAUGUGCGCCUGACAUGAUUUUAGCGCCCCAAAUAAAACGGAUUUUCACAUAUGUAAUCCGUUUCAAAGAUUAAAUCCAUGAACACCAUAUAUUAAAAGCGGUAAAAGGUAAAAGUACAUAGGUUAUAAAAUGAGUAAUUAAAUAAUUAAUUAAGCUAGGUAUGAUCAAAGCGACCGUGCUAAAACUACAAAAUCCGGGAGUACCUAACACCUUCUCCUGGAUUAAUAGAAUUUCUUACCUGGUCUUUUGUGUUCGCAGACUUUAAAACAAAGUCAAAUUUCCUAGAUUUGGGAUUUAAAAUAAACCAGUAACUUGGGACACCACAAUAAAUAUCCAAGUGGCGACUCUAAAAUUAAAUAAAUAAUCAUGUUUCAAUUGAUGUCACUUUAAUUGGAAAAACUCCCUAUCCCCUUGGGAAAAAGGAGGUAUGACACUUAAAUUGUCAGCAGGUGAAGUAUGAGCAUCAACGGCUGGGCGGUUUGCUUUAAAGACUCGAUAUUCCCGAGUGAAAAUAGGAGCAUGUCACCAUGGACUUCAUUGUUGGGCUCCCACAGGCUUAGAAGAAAUUUGACGCGGUAUGGGUUAUUUUGGACAAGUUGACCAAGUCGGCUCAUUUUAUUCUAGUAGUGACUACCUAUUCUUCAAAGAAGCUAGCUCAGAUCUAUAUCCGCGAGAUUGUCCGACUUCAUGGCAUGGCGGUAUCCAUUAUCUCUGACCGGGAUACGCAGUUCACAUCACAUUUCUGGAGAUUUGUACAACGUGAGCUAGGCACACCAUUGAGUUGAGUACAAUAUUUCACCCUUAGAUGGACGGACAGUCCGAGUGCACCAUUUAAAUAUUGGAGGAUAUGAUUCGUGCUUGUGUUAUGGAUUUCGGGGGUUCUUGGGAUUAGUUCCUGCCGCUUGUGGAGUUUGCCUACAACAACAACUACCAAUCGAGUAUUCAACUGGCUCCUUAUAAGGCCCUAUAUGGGAUACGGUGGCGUUCCCUAGUUGGAUGGUUUUAUCCAGGAGAGGCUAAGUUAUUAGCACAGAUUUGGUUCGAGAUUCCUUGGAGAAGGUCAAGAUGAUCCAGGAUCGGCUUCGUAUAACCCAAUCUAGACAGAAGAGUUAUGCGGAUAGGAAGCUUCAUGAUGUUACAUUCAUGGUUGAAAAGAGAGUCUUGCUCUAGGUUUCACCCAUGAAGGGUGUGAUGAGGUUCAAAAAGAAGGGCAAGUGGAACACUAGGUAUAUCAGACCUUUUGAGAUCCUUGAGAGGAUUGGUGAGGUGGUCUACAAGCUAGUAUUUCCACCUAGUUUCUUUACAGUUCUCCGGUGUUCCAUAUUUCUAAGUUUGGCAAGUAUUAUGGUGAUCUGUCACAUGUUUUAGACUUCAGCACAGUCCAAUUGGACGAGGAUUUGACUUAUAUUGAGGAGCCAGUGGCUAUCUUGGACAGACAGGUCCGAAAGUUGAGAUCAAAGAAUAUUGCUUCAGUUAAGGUUCAAUGGAGGGGUCAUCUGGUCGAGGAGGCAACCUGGGAGACCGAGCAUGACAUAUAUAGUCGUUAUCCUCAUCUAUUCAUCACUUCAAAUAUGUCCUUAUGCACGUUUGAGAGCAAACAUUUAUUUUAAGAGGAGGAGAAUGUAUCGACCCAAUUCGUCAUUUUGUGUAAUUAUGCCCCGUUACCCCUUUUUAUACUUCACACAUGUGUGUUUAUGAUUUUAUGACUUGCGGGUCGGUUAGUUUCGUUCCGGGAAUCUUUCGGGUUGAUUUGGACCCUUUGAUUCUUGACUAAGAAGUCUAAGUUAGAAAUGAUGACAACUUUGAAUUUUGUGAAAACGACCUUUGAACGGUAUUUUGAUGGCUCCAAUAGCUUUGUAUUGCAAUUUCGGACUUGGGCGUAUGCCCAUAUUUGAUUUUGGAAAUGCGUAGGUUGAUUUAUGUUUUUUUCCAAAAUUUAGCAAUUUGAAGUUGAAAGGUUUAACCGCAGGUUGGCUUUUAGCUAUUUGGCUCGGAAUUUGAUUUUGGGACUUGGAAUAGUUUCAUUAUUCUAUUUGAAACUUUUUUACAAAAUUUGGUAUCGUUUGGAGUUGAUUUGAUAGGAUUCAGACGUUUAGUUGUAAUUCUAGAGAUUCUUGAACUUUACUUUGAAAUUCAAGCUUUUUAGUGUUUGAUUCGUAGUUUUAGAAGUUAUUUUUGUAUUAGUUCAUAUGAUAUUUUUAGACUUGUGUGGAUUUUUGGUUUGGAGCCCCGAAGGCUCAGAUGAGUUUCGGAUAUGCUUCAUAAAGUUUUGAUCCGAAAAAUAAAAAUCUAGUGUCUGGUGCCUCUGGUGUCGCUUUUGCGAAUGCCAGAGUCGCAUUUGCGACUUUAGCAGGGAACCACAGGUAUCGCAAUUGCGAUUCCUGGGUCACAUUUGCGAUGAUGCUUGGGAUGGUCUAUGAUCACAUUUGCGAGUGGGACUGGGUACGCAAUUGCGAAGCCUUCUUCGCAUUUGCGAGAAGUCCCCCCAACCCUGUUAGUGCCGCAAUUGCGAGAUUAUCUUCGCAGUUGCGAGGGUUCGUAUAUCGCAAUUGCGAUAAUCGCAGCUGAACAUAAGGGCUGGAACUCGGGAUUUCAUCUUAUAUUCUCUCAUUUUAGAAUGCUAGACUCGGUAGGAGGCGAUUUAUAGAGGGGAUCUUUAUCUACAAACUUUGGAUAAGUGAUUCUAAUCUAUUUUCAAUGAUAUUCCAUCAAUAUUUCUUAGAUAUUAACAUCAAAAUCAUGUGAAUCAAAGUGAAAAUUUGUGAAACUUUGUCAAGUUUUUGAUUUUUUUUUUUUUGAAUUUUGAGAGUUGCUUUGGACUCAAAUUUUGAAACUAAUCACAUAUAUGAACUCGUGGGACCAUGAGUAGUUGGAAUCUACUAUUGGAUUAGAAUUUUGACCGGGCAAGCUUUGAGUUGGCUUUUUUUGACUUUUUAAAAAACUGUAAAGAUCAUGGCUUUAUCCAUUAUAAUUGAUUUCUCUUGCAUUGUUUAAUGAUAUUAGAUCGAUUUUGUUAGAUUUGAGCUGUGCGAAGGCGAAUUUUUUUUUUUUGGGGGGGGGGGGGAAGCAUUUGAGAGAGUUGAAUUGACCUAGUUGAGGUAAAUAUCUUGCCUAACUUUGUGUAGGGGAACUACCCCUUAGGAUUUGGGAUUGAUUGUGUCUUUUGUGCUAUGUAAAAGCCGUGUAUGCAAGGUGACGAGGAGUAUACGGGUUGUAUGUGGUAUUUGACCAGUUUAGGCUACUUAGACUCUUUCCAUGCUUUAAUUGAAAUGUCUUAUCAUGUUCUAAAUUCUCAUAGUCAAUCUAUUCUUACUUGUGUUAGUCUAUCCUUACAUGCCUUAAAUGACUUGUUUAACACUUGUUCUACAUCCUACUUGAUAAAUUGCUCUCAUACUUUAGUUGAAUUUGUUGCCCCUUUUUAUUGUUAAUGUUAUCUCUUUCAUUGUUGAGUAUCAUUAUUUGAAAUUAUUUUUACAAGUUAUCUCUUUCAUCGUUAUUUUUCUUAUUUGAAGUCAUGUUUUCUCUUUCAUUGUGAGUUAUUUGUAUUUAGUUCGUGGUUACACAUUAUUUUUCUCAUUGUUGAGUUAUUGAUGUUGAAAUUGUGAAAGCAGUAUCACUUUGAGGCGAAGUUAUCAAUUGUUGAGAUACCUUUCUUGUUAAGAAUUUUACAUUCAUUGUUAUUGUUGAUAUUUUUGUACACAAUGUGGUGGAGCCAUGUGCUAUUGUUUUGGAGAUAUUGAUACUGUUGAUUGUUGGAAAGUUAUGAUAUAUGGGCAUUUGUGGUGCGAAUUAUUAUUUGAUGUGAUAUUGAUGUGCAUGCGGUAGUAUAAGGCUAGGGGUUAAUGUGCAUGCGGCGGUAUAAGGUGGGACUUAAGUGCGUGUUGCUUGUAGGGGAACUACGUGAAGCUACAUAACGUCAUAAGGUGAACUAAAGUGUGUGUAGCUAUUUCGGGCAACAAUAUUUUCUAAACUAUUUAAAUAUAAGGCUCACGCGGUGGUAUAAGAAAAUAUUGUGAUGAGAUUGUGAAUUGUGAAUACGAGGCGGUACCUCGAUUGUGAUUCUUUUGUACACGAGGUCGUACCUCGUUGUGAUUCUUGUUGUUUAUUUCGGGUUGUAAAGAGUUAUUUGGUGGGAAUACUUGUUGUUUUGUUCUUCCUUAUUCUAUCAGUUAUUGUCCAUAUAUGAUCAUUGUGGUUCUCUUCAAUUGAUUUCUUUAUGUUAUUUACAUGCUUACGAUUCCGGUAUUAGUUCAUUCCAUUAACUUGUUUCAUAUCAAUUAUUUUUUCGCUUUCUAUUAUUUAUCCUUAAAAUGUUUUCAUACUUCUUAUUUAUAUAUCCUAGUAGGUGUCUUGACCUGGCCUCGUUACUACUCUACCGAGGUUAGGUUUGAUACUUAUUGGGUACCGUUGUGGUGUACUUAUACUAUGCUUCUGCACAUCUUUUUGUGCAGAUUCAGAUAUGUCUUCUCGUGUCGGACGUUAGUGAUCGAUUGUUAAUUGCUUACGGAGACUUCAAGGUAUGUCUGCUCGGCGUCUGCAGGCCUCGGAGUCAGCUUCCUUUACUUUUAUUACCGUUGUAUUUUUCAUUCAGACAGUGAUGUAGUAAACAUUUUAGCUUACUCUGUAGAGCUUAUGACUCAGUUUCACCGGUUUUGAAAAAGUAUUUGUUAAAUUUUGUUUCGGAAGAUUAUAUGAAUUUAUUAGACUUGUUUUAGUAUUUCUGUUAA